GACAGCCAUGCCACCUUCCUUUACACCUCCUUUCCACCUCCAUGACAGCCCUUUACACUUAACAUCCACUUUCAAAUUCCACUUAACAUCACUGCAGCCAAGUCAUUCCUCCUCCUACGCCAUAUCCCCUUCUCCUACAAAUCCGACAGCAAAUUCAUUCUCCCAAUCUCCAAAAUCUUUCAACAUUCAUUAUAUAUUUAUUUUCCACUCAAGAGAAGCUCAAAAGAAAUCCAGACAACAACGGCUCAACUCAAAACUUCUAAAGGCUUUGUGGACCAAGGGGAUUAGCACUGCUUUCCCAAGACAGGUUAUGUGAUUAUGAUCUUCAGGCUUUGCCUAUCCAGGUUGAGCAGCUGAUGGAAUGGAAUGAUGUUGAGCGGGUGUUCCUUUGACAUUUCAAGAAAUGUAACCUUGAGUAUACAUCUUCAUAUGUAUAUCUCACACGUUUUCCGCUGCAAAACACUUUGAUUAAGAUAGCUCUAUGAUAUGAAGUUGUGAUACGUGUUAUUGGGUAACCACCUUAAUCAGUUCUCAAUUAUGUGUAUCCAAAUAAUCAUAUAUGAUCCUAGCAUUUUAUCUAUGAGUGACAUUUUCAUAUACUUUAAUGUUAAGUAAUUGUCCAUUUCCAUUUCUUA
Molecule: long non-coding RNA, 635 nt
Organism: Salvia miltiorrhiza (redroot sage)
Lineage: Eukaryota; Viridiplantae; Streptophyta; Magnoliopsida; Lamiales; Lamiaceae
Exons: 3
Source: RefSeq, a predicted model, not a curated record